CUGAAGAAGUCUUUCAUAGACGAAACCGUGCAACGGCAGGCCCGUGUACGCGCUCCUAGACACAAGUAACGUCUACUCGACAAUCUCUCGGAGUUUAGUGAGUGCGUUCAACAUGUCCAGAGACGUCAUCCAGGACCGAACGACGCCGCCCAGUCCGCUGUCAGGUCUUGAAAGGCCAGUAAUACACGGGAAGCUCAAAUACAUGGAUGUGUCAUUAGGAAAAAGUCAACUCAACAUGCAGCUGUUUGUCGUUUCAGACACCACGCCAGAGCUGGUGCUCGGCGUGGACUUCCUCAAGAAGACGCAGACGGUGGUCAGUUUUUCCGAGUCGUGCGCAGUGGUAUCCGGGGAGAAGGUGCGCUUCGUCAGUGGUCACGAGCUAGGGGGGUUAACAAAGGGUCGGCCGCACUGACACAGCCGGCCCUCCGGCUAACCGAACCCCUCCAGCGUCCAGACCUACACGGACAAUGUCGGUACUGUCGGACUGGAAAGUGUCACAUUUAGGGACAAUUAACAGAUUCGUAAGUGCGAAUACUUCUACUAACAGCACGUGGAGCUGCUCGUGAAGUGCCCGUAGAAGUUGUCGUAGCUCCUUGGCUCGUCGGCAUAAUGCUAUGCUGAGGACACCUAAUCCAAUCGAUCCGUCUGCUGUUGCUGCUAUUCUCGGCCGAAUCAGUGCGAGGCAGUGGUGCAGCUGGGCGCCUGUGUGAUAAAUACUGAGCUAAUUUUGUAACGACUGAGCCGUGUCGGGACGCCGGUAAGAGGCUCUGGUGGAGACUUCGCGGAUCAGUAUAAUGCUGUGGGCUCAGACAAAUGAAUAAGAAU
This 825-nucleotide unclassified non-coding RNA is filed under the name Amphibalanus amphitrite. Its description in RNAcentral is "uncharacterized LOC122368875, transcript variant X2". The record is from RNAcentral. Lineage: Eukaryota; Metazoa; Arthropoda; Thecostraca; Balanomorpha; Balanidae.